Molecule: ribosomal RNA, 252 nt
Filed under: uncultured bacterium
Lineage: Bacteria
Description: partial 16S ribosomal RNA
Rfam family: Bacterial small subunit ribosomal RNA
Source: RNAcentral
UACAGAGGGGGCAAGCGUUGUUCGGAAUUACUGGGCGUAAAGGGCGCGUAGGCGGCCGCCUAAGUCAGACGUGAAAUCCCUCGGCUCACCGGGGAACUGCGUCUGAUACUGGGUGGCUUGAAUUCGGGAGAGGGAUGCGGAAUUCCAGGUGUAGCGGUGAAAUGCGUAGAUAUCUGGAGGAACACCGGUGGCGAAGGCGGCAUCCUGGACCGAGAUUGACGCUGAGGCGCGAAAGCCAGGGGAGCAAACGGG